AUUGAACGCUGGCGGCAUGCCUUACACAUGCAAGUCGAACGGCAGCACGGGAGCAAUCCUGGUGGCGAGUGGCGAACGGGUGAGUAAUAUAUCGGAACGUGCCCAGUCGUGGGGAUAACGUAGCGAAAGCAACGCUAAUACCGCAUACGAUCUACGGAUGAAAGCGGGGGAUCGCAAGACCUCGCGCGAUUGGAGCGGCCGAUAUCAGAUUAGGUAGUUGGUGAGGUAAAGGCUCACCAAGCCGACGAUCUGUAGCUGGUCUGAGAGGACGACCAGCCACACUGGGACUGAGACACGGCCCAGAC
Molecule: ribosomal RNA, 305 nt
Filed under: uncultured bacterium
Lineage: Bacteria
Description: bacterial SSU rRNA
Rfam family: Bacterial small subunit ribosomal RNA
Source: RNAcentral